AGCAGCCGCGGUAAUUCCAGCUCCAAUAGCGUAUAUUAAAGUUGUUGCAGUUAAAAAGCUCGUAGUUGAAUUUCGGGGUCAGCAAGUUGGUCGUGCCACCGGUAUGUACUGGCUUUGCUGAUUCCUCCUUCUUGUAGAACCGUAAUGCCAUUAAGUUGGUGUUGCGGGAAAACAGGACUGUUACUUUGAAAAAAUUAGAGUGUUUAAAGCAGGCUAACGCUUGAAUACAUUAGCAUGGAAUAAUAAAAUAGGACGACGAUCCUAUUUUGUUGGUUUCUAGGAUUGACGUAAUGAUUAAUAGGGAUAGUUGGGGGCAUUAGUAUUCAAUUGUCAGAGGUGAAAUUCUUGGAUUUAUUGAAGACUGACUACUGCGAAAGCAUUUGCCAAGGAUGUUUUCAUUAAUCAAGAACGAAAGUUAGGGGAUCGAAGACGAUCAGAUACCGUCGUAGUCUUAACCAUAAACUAUGCCGACUAGGGAUCGGAUGAUGUUAAUUUUAUAAUGACUCAUUCGGCGCCUUAAC
RNAcentral lists this ribosomal RNA (521 nucleotides) under uncultured fungus. Its description in RNAcentral is "SSU rRNA". It matches the Rfam family "Eukaryotic small subunit ribosomal RNA", at positions 569 to 1092 of the family's 1831-position model. Lineage: Eukaryota; Fungi. The record is from RNAcentral.